UCCAUAGCUCAGUUGGGAGAGCACCUGCCUUGCAAGCAGGGGGUCGAGGGUUCGAAUCCCUUUGGAUCC
This 69-nucleotide transfer RNA is filed under the name bovine gut metagenome. It matches the Rfam family "tRNA". Rfam says of the family: Transfer RNA (tRNA) molecules are approximately 80 nucleotides in length. The record is from RNAcentral.